RNAcentral lists this ribosomal RNA (769 nucleotides) under uncultured bacterium. RNAcentral describes it as "bacterial SSU rRNA". It matches the Rfam family "Bacterial small subunit ribosomal RNA", at positions 28 to 776 of the family's 1533-position model. The record is from RNAcentral.
AUUGAACGCUGGCGGCAGGCCUAACACAUGUAAGUCGAGCGGCAGCGACUUAACUGAACCUUCGGGGAACGUUAAGGGCGGCGAGCGGCGGACGGGUGAGUAAUGCCUGGGAAUAUGCCCUGAUGUGGGGGAUAACUAUUGGAAACGAUAGCUAAUACCGCAUAAUCUCUUCGGAGCAAAGAGGGGGACCUUCGGGCCUCUCGCGUCAGGAUUAGCCCAGGUGGGAUUAGCUUGUUGGUGAGGUAAUGGCUCACCAAGGCUACGAUCCCUAGCUGGUCUGAGAGGAUGAUCAGCCACACUGGAACUGAGACACGGUCCAGACUCCUACGGGAGGCAGCAGUGGGGAAUAUUGCACAAUGGGGGAAACCCUGAUGCAGCCAUGCCGCGUGUGUGAAGAAGGCCUUCGGGUUGUAAAGCACUUUCAGUAGGGAGGAAGGUAGUGUAGUUAACACCUGCAUUAUUUGACGUUACCUACAGAAGAAGCACCGGCUAACUCCGUGCCAGCAGCCGCGGUAAUACGGAGGGUGCGAGCGUUAAUCGGAAUUACUGGGCGUAAAGCGCAUGCAGGCGGCCUGUUAAGUCAGAUGUGAAAGCCCGGGGCUUAACCUCGGAAUUGCAUUUGAAACUGGCAGGCUAGAGUCUUGUAGAGGGGGGUAGAAUUUCAGGUGUAGCGGUGAAAUGCGUAGAGAUCUGAAGGAAUACCAGUGGCGAAGGCGGCCCCCUGGACAAAGACUGACGCUCAGAUGCGAAAGCGUGGGGAGCAAACAGG